RNAcentral lists this ribosomal RNA (913 nucleotides) under uncultured marine archaeon. RNAcentral describes it as "bacterial SSU rRNA". It matches the Rfam family "Archaeal small subunit ribosomal RNA", at positions 1 to 922 of the family's 1478-position model. The record is from RNAcentral.
UCCGGUUGAUCCCGCCGGACCUGACUGCUAUCGGAUUGAUACUAAGCCAUGCGAGUCAUUGUAGCAAUACAAGGCAUACGGCUCAGUAACGCGUAGUCAACCUAACCUAUGGACGGGAAUAACCUCGGGAAACUGAGAAUAAUGCCCGAUAGAACAUUAUGCCUGGAAUGGUUUAUGUUCCAAAUGAUUUAUCGCCGUAGGAUGGGACUGCGGCCUAUCAGUUUGUUGGUGAGGUAAUGGCCCACCAAGACUAUUACAGGUACGGGCUCUGAGAGGAGUAGCCCGGAGAUGGGUACUGAGACACGGACCCAGGCCCUAUGGGGCGCAGCAGGCGAGAAAACUUUGCAAUGUGCGAAAGCACGACAAGGUUAAUCCGAGUGAUUUGUGCUAAACGAAUCUUUUGUUAGUCCUAGAAACACUAACGAAUAAGGGGUGGGCAAGUUCUGGUGUCAGCCGCCGCGGUAAAACCAGCACCUCAAGUGGUCAGGAUGAUUAUUGGGCCUAAAGCAUCCGUAGCCGGCUCUGUAAGUUUUCGGUUAAAUCUGUACGCUUAACGUACAGGCUGCCGGGAAUACUGCAAAGCUAGGGAGUGGGAGAAGUAGACGGUACUCGGUAGGAAGUGGUAAAAUGCUUUGAUCUAUCGAUGACCACCUGUGGCGAAGGCGGUCUACUAGAACACGUCCGACGGUGAGGGAUGAAAGCUGGGGGAGCAAACCGGAUUAGAUACCCGGGUAGUCCCAGCUGUAAACUAUGCAAACUCAGUGAUGCAUUGGCUUGUGGCCAAUGCAGUGCUGCAGGGAAGCCGUUAAGUUUGCCGCCUGGGAAGUACGUACGCAAGUAUGAAACUUAAAGGAAUUGGCGGGGGAGCACCACAAGGGGUGAAGCCUGCGGUUCAAUUGGAGUCAACGCCGGA